CUAGUACCUUACACGUUCAUUACAUGUUAGGAGUUUAACCUAUAAUCUUACUUGGAGAAGGGGGGGGGGAAAGACCCACAACGAAGAAUCCUGUGCAGAACAGUAUGAUGCACCUGCAAAAACAUCACCUCGUUCUCAACCAAGAACACCAUAUUUCUUCUUUUCCCUGUCGUGUUAUGUUUUAUCUCAGAAGAAGGAGGAUCAUCACAGGGGAAUGGCAAAGUCAAAACGGCCAAACAAAGCAAGG
Molecule: long non-coding RNA, 247 nt
Organism: Athene cunicularia (burrowing owl)
Lineage: Eukaryota; Metazoa; Chordata; Aves; Strigiformes; Strigidae
Exons: 3
Source: RefSeq, a predicted model, not a curated record